This 434-nucleotide ribosomal RNA is filed under the name uncultured bacterium. RNAcentral describes it as "bacterial SSU rRNA". It matches the Rfam family "Bacterial small subunit ribosomal RNA", at positions 355 to 786 of the family's 1533-position model. The record is from RNAcentral.
UGAGGAAUAUUGGUCAAUGGGCGCGAGCCUGAACCAGCCAAGUCGCGUGAGGGAUGACGGCCCUACGGGUUGUAAACCUCUUUUGUCGGGGAGCAAAUUCCGUUACGUGUAACGGAGUCGAGAGUACCCGAAGAAAAAGCAUCGGCUAACUCCGUGCCAGCAGCCGCGGUAAUACGGAGGAUGCGAGCGUUAUCCGGAUUUAUUGGGUUUAAAGGGUGCGUAGGCGGACUGUCAAGUCAGCGGUAAAAUACGGGGGCUCAACCUCCGCCCGCCGUUGAAACUGACGGUCUUGAGUGGGCGAGAAGUAUGCGGAAUGCGUGGUGUAGCGGUGAAAUGCAUAGAUAUCACGCAGAACUCCGAUUGCGAAGGCAGCAUACCGGCGCCCAACUGACGCUCAUGCACGAAAGCGUGGGUAUCGAACAGGAUUAGAUACC